CAUCAAGGCCAUCAACCACCCGAGCCACUGCCUGUUCACCCCGCUAUCAUCCAGAAGGCGAGGUCAGUACAGGUGCAUCAAAGCUGGGACCGAGAGACUGAAAAACAGCUUCUAUCUCAAGGCCAUCAGACUGUUAAACAGCCACCACUAACAUUGAGUGGCUGCUGCCAACACACUGUCAUUGACACUGACUCAACUCCAGCCACUUUAAUAAUGGGAAUUGAUGGGAAAUUAUGUAAAACACUAGCCACUUUAAACAAUGCUACCUAAUAUAAUGUUUACAUGCACUACAUUAUUCAUCUCAUAUGCAUACGUAUAUACUGUACUCUAUAUCAUCUACUGCAACCUUAUGUAAUACAUGUAUCACUAGCCACUUUAACUAUGCCACUUUGUUUACAUACUCAUCUCAUAUGUAUAUACUGCACUCAAUACCAUCUACUGUAUCUUGCGUAUGCCGCUCUGUACCAUCACUCAUUCAUAUAUCCUUAUGUACAUAUUCUUUAUCCCCUUACACUUGUGUCUAUAAGGUAGUAGUUUUGGAAUUGUUAGCUAGAUUACUUGUUGGUUAUUACUGCAUUGUCGGAACUAGAAGCACAAGCAUUUCGCUACACUCGCACUAACAUCUGCUAACCAUGUGUAUGUGACAAAUACAAUUUGAUUUGAUUUGAUUUGAAAAAGUAGUUCAGGUGGCUGUUUGUCUUUGUAGGACAGUAGUUCAGGUGGCUGUUUGUGUAGAUGCUGUUUGUCUUUGUAGGACAGUAGUUCAGGUGGCUGUUUGUGUAGAUGCUGUUUGUCUUUGUAGGACAGUAGUUCAGGUGGCUGUUUGUGUAGAUGCUGUUUGUCUUUGUAGGACAGUAGUUCAGGUGGCUGUUUGUGUAGAUGCUGUUUGUCUUUGUAGGACAGUAGUUCAGGUGGCUGUUUGUGUAGAUGCUGUUUGUCUUUGUAGGACAGUAGUUCAGGUGGCUGUUUGUGUAGAUGCUGUUUGUCUUUGUAGGACAGUAGUUCAGGUGGCUGUUUGUGUAGAUGCUGUUUGCCUUUGUAGGACAGUAGAUCAGGUGGCUGUUUGUCUCUGUAGGACAGUAGUUCAGGUGGCUGUUUGUCUUUGUAGGACAGUAGUUCAGGUGGCUGUUUGUGUAGAUGCUGUUUGUCUUUGUAGGACAGUAGUUCAGGUGGCUGUUUGUCUCUGUAGGACAGUAGUUCAAGUGACUGUUUGUCUUUGUAGGACAGUAGUUCAGGUGGCUGUUUGUCUCUGUAGGACAGUAGUUCAGGUGGCUGUUUGUGUAGAUGCUGUUUGUCUCUGUAGGACAGUAGUUCAGGUGGCUGUUUGUGUAGAUGCUGUUUGUCUCUGUAGGACAGUAGUUCAGGUGGCUGUUUGUGUAGAUGCUGUUUGUCUCUGUAGGACAGUAGUUCAGGUGGCUGUUUGUUUUUGUAGGACAGUAGCUCAGGUGGCUGUUUGUCUCUGUAGGACAGUAGUUCAGGUGGCUGUUUGUCUUUGUAGGACAGUAGUUCAGGUGGCUGAUUGUCUCUGUAGGACAGUAGGUUAGGUGGCUGUUUGUCUCUGUAGGACAGUAGAUCAGGUGGCUGUUUGUGUAGAUGCUGUUUGUCUUUGUAGGACAGUAGUUCAGGUGGCUGCCCUUGCACUUAGUGUGCCUCCUGUCCCUCCCAUCGGCAUGGUUACACCUUCCUGAAAACAUUGACUCCAUACUUUGCUGAAACCUGUUCUGCCAGUUCAUGUCCUUAAAGACUAGAAUGUUCCAAUGUGGUUAGCCAAAGAGAUGACAAGAUAGUUCACACAUGCAUCUUUCAGGGUAACUGUCAAACAGACAUGUCACAUUUCUGGUUGGUCCAUAACUAGUUUCCUGCUUGUAGCAGGCAGUGUUAACAGGAAUCCUCUUCUCUAACUAGAAGUCAUGUGAUUUCAUGAGGAUGUUGUUCUGCAGUGAGAGUGUAAUGCAAGUCAAGGUGUC
This is a long non-coding RNA of Oncorhynchus keta (chum salmon), 1967 nucleotides long. RefSeq lists it as uncharacterized. The record is from RefSeq and is a predicted model, not a curated record. Lineage: Eukaryota; Metazoa; Chordata; Actinopteri; Salmoniformes; Salmonidae. The transcript is spliced from 3 exons.